AUGCAACCUACUGACCUCGAGGUAAUCAAAGUGAAAGCAAGAAACCUAAUCAUCGAGGGGGGAAAGGGAUACAUACACUUUAACUUUCUUGUGAAAAUGCAAGGUGACCCAUCUAGUUUGUUCUUUGCGGAGGUGCAUCCGGAUUGUAGAGAGGAGGAGGAUAUGUAUCUUUGCACCCCUUUGGAAGCUAAUGACUCGGGUAACUGUUAUGGGUGCAAGGACCGUGCAAAAGAGCUUUUGCAUCCCACUACCGGUGGCUACUUGGGUGGGCACAAAGAUGUUGUUUUCCCCUUCAUUUACGAAAGUGAUGAAGAAAGUGAAGAUGAGGCCUGA
Molecule: ribosomal RNA, 333 nt
Filed under: Triticum aestivum (bread wheat)
Lineage: Eukaryota; Viridiplantae; Streptophyta; Magnoliopsida; Poales; Poaceae
Description: partial small subunit ribosomal RNA
Source: RNAcentral